Molecule: transfer RNA, 59 nt
Filed under: Proasellus coiffaiti
Lineage: Eukaryota; Metazoa; Arthropoda; Malacostraca; Isopoda; Asellidae
Description: transfert RNA-T(ACA)
Source: RNAcentral
GCCUAUAUAGUUUAAUAAAAAUUCUAAUUUUGUAAAUUAGGGAUGAGUAUCUGUAGGUA